UACGUAGGUGGCAAGCGUUGUCCGGAUUUACUGGGCGUAAAGAGCGCGCAGGCGGUCGGAUCAGUCGAAUGUGAAGGCCCCCGGCUCAACUGGGGAGGGUCAUUCGAUACUGUCCGACUCGAAGGCAGGAGAGGGAAGCGGAAUUCCCGGUGUAGUGGUGAAAUGCGUAGAUAUCGGGAGGAACACCAGUGGCGAAGGCGGCUUUCUGGCCUGUUCUUGACGCUGAGGCGCGAAAGCUAGGGGAGCAAACGGG
Molecule: ribosomal RNA, 253 nt
Filed under: uncultured bacterium
Lineage: Bacteria
Description: partial 16S ribosomal RNA
Rfam family: Bacterial small subunit ribosomal RNA
Source: RNAcentral